UACCAUGCAAGUCGAACGGUGAAGCCAAGCUUGCUUGGUGGAUCAGUGGCGAACGGGUGAGUAACACGUGAGCAACCUGCCCUGGACUCUGGGAUAAGCGCUGGAAACGGCGUCUAAUACUGGAUAUGAGACGUGAUCGCAUGGUCGUGUUUGGAAAGAUUUUUCGGUCUGGGAUGGGCUCGCGGCCUAUCAGCUUGUUGGUGAGGUAAUGGCUCACCAAGGCGUCGACGGGUAGCCGGCCUGAGAGGGUGACCGGCCACACUGGGACUGAGACACGGCCCAGACUCCUACGGGAGGCAGCAGUGGGGAAUAUUGCACAAUGGGCGGAAGCCUGAUGCAGCAACGCCGCGUGAGGGAUGACGGCCUUCGGGUUGUAAACCUCUUUUAGCAGGGAAGAAGCGAAAGUGACGGUACCUGCAGAAAAAGCGCCGGCUAACUACGUGCCAGCAGCCGCGGUAAUACGUAGGGCGCAAGCGUUAUCCGGAAUUAUUGGGCGUAAAGAGCUCGUAGGCGGUUUGUCGCGUCUGCUGUGAAAUCCCGAGGCUCAACCUCGGGCCUGCAGUGGGUACGGGCAGACUAGAGUGCGGUAGGGGAGAUUGGAAUUCCUGGUGUAGCGGUGGAAUGCGCAGAUAUCAGGAGGAACACCGAUGGCGAAGGCAGAUCUCUGGGCCGUAACUGACGCUGAGGAGCGAAAGGGUGGGGAGCAAACAGGCUUAGAUACCCUGGUAGUCCACCCCGUAAACGUUGGGAACUAGUUGUGGGGACCAUUCCACGGUUUCCGUGACGCAGCUAACGCAUUAAGUUCCCCGCCUGGGGAGUACGGCCGCAAGGCUAAAACUCAAAGGAAUUGACGGGGACCCGCACAAGCGGCGGAGCAUGCGGAUUAAUUCGAUGCAACGCGAAGAACCUUACCAAGGCUUGACAUAUACGAGAACGGGCCAGAAAUGGUCAACUCUUUGGACACUCGUAAACAGGUGGUGCAUGGUUGUCGUCAGCUCGUGUCGUGAGAUGUUGGGUUAAGUCCCGCAACGAGCGCAACCCUCGUUCUAUGUUGCCAGCACGUAAUGGUGGGAACUCAUGGGAUACUGCCGGGGUCAACUCGGAGGAAGGUGGGGAUGACGUCAAAUCAUCAUGCCCCUUAUGUCUUGGGCUUCACGCAUGCUACAAUGGCCGGUACAAAGGGCUGCAAUACCGUAAGGUGGAGCGAAUCCCAAAAAGCCGGUCCCAGUUCGGAUUGAGGUCUGCAACUCGACCUCAUGAAGUCGGAGUCGCUAGUAAUCGCAGAUCAGCAACGCUGCGGUGAAUACGUUCCCGGGUCUUGUACACACCGCCCGUCAAGUCAUGAAAGUCGGUAACACCUGAAGCCGGUGGCCCAACCCUUGUGGAGGAGCCGUCGA
This 1397-nucleotide ribosomal RNA is filed under the name Microbacterium sp. RNAcentral describes it as "bacterial SSU rRNA". It matches the Rfam family "Bacterial small subunit ribosomal RNA". Lineage: Bacteria; Bacillati; Actinomycetota; Actinomycetes; Micrococcales; Microbacteriaceae. The record is from RNAcentral.